RNAcentral lists this ribosomal RNA (576 nucleotides) under uncultured eukaryote. RNAcentral describes it as "bacterial SSU rRNA". It matches the Rfam family "Eukaryotic small subunit ribosomal RNA", at positions 203 to 782 of the family's 1831-position model. The record is from RNAcentral.
UUAUUAGAUCCAGAACCAACCCAGGCUCCGCCUGGUUGCGUGGUGAAUCAUGAUAACUGAAUGAAUCGUAUGGCACCUGCCGGCGAUAGAUCAUUCAAGUUUCUGACCUAUCAGCUUCCGACGGUAGGGUAUUGGCCUACCGUGGCUUUCACGGGUAACGGGGAAUCUGGGUUCGAUUCCGGAGAGGCAGCCUGAGAAACGGCUACCACAUCUAAGGAAGGCAGCAGGCGCGCAAAUUACCCAAUCUCGGCACGGGGAGGUAGUGACGAAAAAUAACGGUGCAGCGCUCCUACGAGUGUCUGUAAUCGGAAUGAGUCAGGUCUAAAUUCUCGAACGAGGAUCUAUUGGAGGGCAAGUCUGGUGCCAGCAGCCGCGGUAAUUCCAGCUCCAAUAGCGCAUAUUAAAGUUGUUGCGGUUAAAAAGCUCGUAGUUGGAUUUCUGCCAAGGACGACCGGUCCACCCUCUGGGUGAGCAUCUGGCUCGGCCUGGGCAUCUUCUUGGAGAACGUAGCUGCACUUGACUGUGUGGUGCGGUAUCCUGGACUUUUACUUUGAGGAAAUUAGAGUGUUUCAAGCA